GACGAACGCUGGCGGCGUGCUUAACACAUGCAAGUCGAACGGAAAGGCCCUGCUUUUGUGGGGUGCUCGAGUGGCGAACGGGUGAGUAACACGUGAGUAACCUGCCCUUGACUUUGGGAUAACUUCAGGAAACUGGGGCUAAUACCGGAUAGGAGCUCCUGCUGCAUGGUGGGGGUUGGAAAGUUUCGGCGGUUGGGGAUGGACUCGCGGCUUAUCAGCUUGUUGGUGGGGUAGUGGCUUACCAAGGCUUUGACGGGUAGCCGGCCUGAGAGGGUGACCGGCCACAUUGGGACUGAGAUACGGCCCAGACUCCUACGGGAGGCAACAGUGGGGAAUAUUGCACAAUGGGCGGAAGCCGGAUGCAGCAACGCCGCGUGCGGGAUGACGGCCUUCGGGUUGUAACCGCUUUCGCCUGUGACGAAGCGUGAGUGACGGUAAUGGGUAAAGAAGCACCGGCUAACUACGUG
Molecule: ribosomal RNA, 467 nt
Filed under: uncultured bacterium
Lineage: Bacteria
Description: partial 16S ribosomal RNA
Rfam family: Bacterial small subunit ribosomal RNA
Source: RNAcentral